RNAcentral lists this ribosomal RNA (426 nucleotides) under uncultured bacterium. RNAcentral describes it as "partial 16S ribosomal RNA". It matches the Rfam family "Bacterial small subunit ribosomal RNA", at positions 354 to 796 of the family's 1533-position model. The record is from RNAcentral.
GUGAGGAAUUUUCCGCAAUGGGCGAAAGCCUGACGGAGCAAUGCCGCGUGAAGGAUGAUGGCCUAUGGGUUGUAAACUUCUUUUCUCAGAAAAGAAUUAUGACGGUAUCUGAGGAAUAAGCAUCGGCUAACUCUGUGCCAGCAGCCGCGGUAAGACAGAGGAUGCAAGCGUUAUCCGGAAUGAUUGGGCGUAAAGCGUCUGUAGGUUGUUUAAAAAGUAUUCUGUCAAAGAUUAGGGCUUAACCCUAGAUAGGCAGAAUAAACUUUUAAGCUAGAGUUUGGUAGAGGCAGAGGGAAUUCCCGGUGGAGCGGUGAAAUGCGUAGAUAUCGGGAGGAACACCAAAGGCGAAGGCACUCUGCUGGGCCAAUACUAACACUGAGAGACGAAAGCGAGGGGAGCAAAUGGGAUUAGAUACCCUAGUAGUCC